GGGGACACCACUGAUGGACUCUGAACAGACAGUGACAUCACAAACGGCCACAAAGACAACAGUGAAACAAGGAUGCCAGGCAGGAAGCUAGUGAAGCAGUCCAGCUCUAGAGGACGAUGUGGGUGAGCUCACAGUGGUAGAAGUAAAGGAACGGCUGGGCAGAUUCAAGAUGUAGUUGAGAGAUGCACACAGCAGGACUGUAGGACGUGAGGCAGCGAAGUCCAAGGAAUGACUACAUGUGGGGCCUAGUGAUGACUCAGAGUGAAAUAGCUUUGAUGAUAAGAAGCAAGGUUUGGUUAUAAACAUGCUAAGCUAGAUAUUUAAAACAAGAUGUUAGCUAGAAUACUAACUACCUUCUAGUCAAGUAGAAGACAAAACUGGAGACAUAAACUUUGGACUUAUCAACAUACACAUGAAAUUUCAGACAUGAAAUUGGACCAAAGCCCUCAUGUCUAUGGGUUGAGCCUGGUAACCUUAACUGAGGUCAUAUGAAAACAUUACCACAGUGCUCUAUGGCACCCCCUGACUAUGUGUAAUGAAUUAACUUCCUGCCUGUGCAUCUAGGACAGUACUAUGUCCCCGUCCCCCCCUUCCCCGAGGGGGGGGCGGGGAACUGAGGAAACGAUCCUAAUUUUCUGUGUUCCAUGGUUCAGACAGUUGGGAAAUACUGAUUAUGGCUCUAACGUAGUCAAGGAAAUGAGAAAACGGCAGAAGGGGAAAAUGGCAGUGUCUGCCCCUAAAUUGUAGGCUUCAUUGCUUAGAUGAUCCCUUCAUAACCACUGAAGAGGACCCGUGGACAUGAUACAGGGAAGAUCAGGUUGUAAGGAGACAGGUGACCUUUGAUGGAAGAACAACUCAAGGCAAAUGAAGAGGAUUUUCUGCAGAAAAGCCCUCUGAACCAUCUCAGGGUACAAGAUACAAGAGUUUCAAAUGAUUCCAUGUUUUGAAGAUUAUUAUACCCAGAAUCAUUCUGAAGAGCACAUUAUUAAAUAGUUGUCUUCCAACACUAUACAACUGA
Non-coding RNA from Peromyscus maniculatus bairdii (prairie deer mouse), 1018 nucleotides. The record is from RefSeq and is a predicted model, not a curated record. NCBI's taxonomy places the organism in Eukaryota, Metazoa, Chordata, Mammalia, Rodentia, Cricetidae.